CCCUUAGAUGUUCUGGGCCGCACGCGCGCUACACUGAUGCAUUCAACGAGUUUCUUCCUGGUCCGAGAGGAAUGGGUAACCUUUUGAAAGUGCAUCGUGAUAGGGAUAGACUAUUGCAAUUAUUGGUCUUCAACGAGGAAUUCCUAGUAGACGUAGUUCAUCAGACUGCAUCGAUUACGUCCCUGCCCUUUGUACACACCGCCCGUCGCUACUACUGAUUGGAUGUUUAAGCGAGGUUCUCGAACUGCUAGCGACUUAGCUUCGGUGAGGUCGCAGUGUGGGAAGUGAACCUAGCUUUGGUGUCUAGAGGAAGUAAAAGUCGUAACA
RNAcentral lists this ribosomal RNA (327 nucleotides) under uncultured eukaryote. Its description in RNAcentral is "partial 18S ribosomal RNA". It matches the Rfam family "Eukaryotic small subunit ribosomal RNA", at positions 1470 to 1796 of the family's 1831-position model. The record is from RNAcentral.